GGCUGGUCCAAAGUGGGUUACCUCAAUUGACUGUUCACAGUCAGUUACAGAUCCAACUCCUUGUUCUACUUUCUUCCCCCACUUCUCACUACUGCACUUGACUAUCUUAAA
This 111-nucleotide Y RNA is filed under the name Sapajus apella (tufted capuchin). Its description in RNAcentral is "Cebus apella (Tufted capuchin) Y RNA". It matches the Rfam family "Y RNA". From Rfam's summary of the family: Y RNAs are components of the Ro ribonucleoprotein particle (Ro RNP), in association with Ro60 and La proteins. The record is from Rfam by way of RNAcentral. RNAcentral also lists the same sequence under 1 other name. Lineage: Eukaryota; Metazoa; Chordata; Mammalia; Primates; Cebidae.